Rattus norvegicus (Norway rat) is the source of this 340-nucleotide non-coding RNA. NCBI's taxonomy places the organism in Eukaryota, Metazoa, Chordata, Mammalia, Rodentia, Muridae. The record is from RefSeq and is a predicted model, not a curated record.
AUUGAAGAUACGGAUUAGGAAGAGGUGAGGGAGGCUUCGGAGUGCUGAAAUCCUUCCUGCCAUACCUGGGCCUGAGUGCUGGCUAAAGUGUUUUUCACAUGAACCUGAAGAUUGUGUUUGCACUACAAGAAUAAGUGUACGUGUGCAUGCCUGUGUGAGUGUGCAUACUGCACUCAGAGGACAACUUGGAAGAGUCAGUUCUUCCCCUCCACCAUAUAGACGUCUGAGGUUGAACUCCUGUCACCAUGUUUGCUGACGAGUGCCUUCACUGACCAAAUCCUCUUGUUGUCGCCUGCACAGAUGUCUCUCCUUCUUAUUAAAGAUUUAUUUAUUUAUUUUA